AUUUGUUGAAGGGCCGCAGUAUUUUGACUGUGCAAAGGUAGCAUAAUCAUUAGUUUUUUAAUUUAAAGCUUGUAUGAAGGGUUGGACGAGGUAAAUUCUGUCUCUAAAUAAUUAAUUUUAGAAUUUAAUUUUUAAGUUAAAAAGCUUAGAUAUAUUUAAAAGACGAGAAGACCCUAUAGAUCUUUAUAUUAUUUUUAUUGAUUAUAUAUAAGAUUUUUUAAUUAAUUAAUAGAAUUAGUAUUUUAUUGGGGUAAUAAAAAGAUUAAAUAAAUUCUUUUUUAAUUUUAACAUUAAUAAAUGAAUAAAUGAUCCGGUAUUAUUGAUUAAAAGAUUAAGUUACCUUAGGGAUAACAGCGUAAUUUUUUUAGAGAGUUCAUAUCGAUAAAAAAGUUUGCGACCUCGAUGUUGGAUUAAAAAUUAUUUUGGGUGUAGAAGCUUGAAAUUUUGGUCUGUUCGACCAUUAAAUUUUUACAUGAUCUGAGUUCAGACCGGCGUAAGCCAGGUCGGUUUCUAUCUUUAGAGAAAUUUUAGAUUUUAGUACGAAAGGACCAAAUUUAAUAUAUAUUAAUAUUUAAAAAUUUUGAUUAU
This 588-nucleotide ribosomal RNA is filed under the name Ilybius similis. RNAcentral's name for it is "partial 16S ribosomal RNA". It matches the Rfam family "Bacterial large subunit ribosomal RNA", at positions 1918 to 2748 of the family's 2925-position model. The record is from RNAcentral. Lineage: Eukaryota; Metazoa; Arthropoda; Insecta; Coleoptera; Dytiscidae.